GAUGAACGCUGGCGGCGUGCCUAAUACAUGCAAGUCGAGCGAACAGACGAGGAGCUUGCUCCUCUGACGUUAGCGGCGGACGGGUGAGUAACACGUGGAUAACCUACCUAUAAGACUGGGAUAACUUCGGGAAACCGGAGCUAAUACCGGAUAAUAUAUUGAACCGCAUGGUUCAAUAGUGAAAGACGGUUUUGCUGUCACUUAUAGAUGGAUCCGCGCCGCAUUAGCUAGUUGGUAAGGUAACGGCUUACCAAGGCAACGAUGCGUAGCCGACCCGAGAGGGUGAUCGGCCACACUGGAACUGAGACACGGUCCAGACUCCUACGGGAGGCAGCAGUAGGGAAUCUUCCGCAAUGGGCGAAAGCCUGACGGAGCAACGCCGCGUGAGUGAUGAAGGUCUUCGGAUCGUAAAACUCUGUUAUUAGGGAAGAACAAAUGUGUAAGUAACUAUGCACGUCUUGACGGUACCUAAUCGGAAAGCCACGGCUAACUACGUG
RNAcentral lists this ribosomal RNA (497 nucleotides) under uncultured bacterium. RNAcentral's name for it is "partial 16S ribosomal RNA". It matches the Rfam family "Bacterial small subunit ribosomal RNA", at positions 28 to 507 of the family's 1533-position model. The record is from RNAcentral.